This 252-nucleotide ribosomal RNA is filed under the name uncultured bacterium. RNAcentral describes it as "partial 16S ribosomal RNA". It matches the Rfam family "Bacterial small subunit ribosomal RNA", at positions 57 to 305 of the family's 1533-position model. The record is from RNAcentral.
GCAAGUCGAGCGGAAACGAUGUAGAGCUUGCUCUUUAGGCGUCGCGCGCCGGACGGGUGAGUAAUGCUUGGGAAUCUGCCUUAUGGUGGGGUACAACAGUUGGAAACGACUGCUAAUACCGCAUAACGCCUACGGACCAAAGGUGGGGAUCUUCGGACCUCUCGCCAUUUGAUUAGCCCAAGUGAGAUUAGCUAGUAGGUGAGGUAAGAGCUCACCUAGGCGACGAUCUCUAGCUGGUUUGAGAGGAUGAUC